Molecule: transfer RNA, 77 nt
Filed under: Desulfobacterales bacterium
Lineage: Bacteria; Pseudomonadati; Thermodesulfobacteriota; Desulfobacteria; Desulfobacterales
Description: tRNA-Leu
Rfam family: tRNA
About the family: Transfer RNA (tRNA) molecules are approximately 80 nucleotides in length.
Source: RNAcentral
GGGGGCGUAGGCUAACUGGCAACGCCAUCUGACUUAGGCUCAGAAUACUGAAGGUUCGAAUCCUUCCGCCCCCACCA